RNAcentral lists this unclassified non-coding RNA (335 nucleotides) under soil metagenome. RNAcentral describes it as "partial contains 5.8S ribosomal RNA, internal transcribed spacer 2, and large subunit ribosomal RNA". The stretch from base 1 to 120 matches the Rfam family "5.8S ribosomal RNA", at positions 35 to 154 of the family's 154-position model. The record is from RNAcentral.
GAUGAAGAACGCAGCGAAAUGCGAUAAGUAAUGUGAAUUGCAGAAUUCCGUGAAUCAUCGAAUCUCUGAACGCACAUUGCGCCCCCUGGUAUUCCGGGGGGCAUGCCUGUCCGAGCGUCAUUGCAACCUUCAAGCGCGGCUUGUGUGUUGGGUCUCGUCCCCCGUGGACGGGCCCGAAAGGCAGUGGCGGCGUCCCGACAUGGUGCCCGAGCGUAUGGGAAUCAUCUUCCGCUCGAAUCGGCCCAUGCGGCGCUGGUCGUAACCAAAUUUUUUACCGGUUGACCUCGGAUCAGGUAGGGAUACCCGCUGAACUUAAGCAUAUCAAUAAGCGGAGA